This 1408-nucleotide ribosomal RNA is filed under the name uncultured bacterium. RNAcentral's name for it is "bacterial SSU rRNA". It matches the Rfam family "Bacterial small subunit ribosomal RNA". The record is from RNAcentral.
AGAGUUUGUUCCUGGCUCAGGACGAACGCUGGCGGCGUGCCUAAUACAUGCAAGUAGAACGCUGAAGAGAGGAGCUUGCUCUUCUUGGAUGAGUUGCGAACGGGUGAGUAACGCGUAGGUAACCUGCCUUGUAGCGGGGGAUAACUAUUGGAAACGAUAGCUAAUACCGCAUAACAAUGGAUGACACAUGUCAUUUAUUUGAAAGGGGCAAUUGCUCCACUACAAGAUGGACCUGCGUUGUAUUAGCUAGUAGGUGAGGUAACGGCUCACCUAGGCGACGAUACAUAGCCGACCUGAGAGGGUGAUCGGCCACACUGGGACUGAGACACGGCCCAGACUCCUACGGGAGGCAGCAGUAGGGAAUCUUCGGCAAUGGGGGCAACCCUGACCGAGCAACGCCGCGUGAGUGAAGAAGGUUUUCGGAUCGUAAAGCUCUGUUGUAAGUCAAGAACGAGUGUGAGAGUGGAAAGUUCACACUGUGACGGUAGCUUACCAGAAAGGGACGGCUAACUACGUGCCAGCAGCCGCGGUAAUACGUAGGUCCCGAGCGUUGUCCGGAUUUAUUGGGCGUAAAGCGAGCGCAGGCGGUUUGAUAAGUCUGAAGUUAAAGGCUGUGGCUCAACCAUAGUUCGCUUUGGAAACUGUCAAACUUGAGUGCAGAAGGGGAGAGUGGAAUUCCAUGUGUAGCGGUGAAAUGCGUAGAUAUAUGGAGGAACACCGGUGGCGAAAGCGGCUCUCUGGUCUGUAACUGACGCUGAGGCUCGAAAGCGUGGGGAGCGAACAGGAUUAGAUACCCUGGUAGUCCACGCCGUAAACGAUGAGUGCUAGGUGUUGGAUCCUUUCCCGGAUUUCAGUCCCGCAGCUAACGCAUUAAGCACUCCGCCUGGGGAGUACGACCGCAAGGUUGAAACUCAAAGGAAUUGACGGGGGCCCGCACAAGCAGUGGAGUAUGUGGUUUAAUUCGAAGCAACGCGAAGAACCUUACCUGGGCUUGACAUCCCUGGAAUCGAGUAGAGAUACUUGAGUGCCUUCGGGAAUCAGGUGACAGGUGGUGCAUGGUUGUCGUCAGCUCGUGUCGUGAGAUGUUGGGUUAAGUCCCGCAACGAGCGCAACCCCUAUUGUCAGUUGCCAUCAUUAAGUUGGGCACUCUGGCGAGACUGCCGGUGACAAAUCGGAGGAAGGUGGGGACGACGUCAAAUCAUCAUGCCCCUUAUGCCCAGGGCUACACACGUACUACAAUGGCCGAUAACAAAGUGCAGCGAAACCGUGAGGUGGAGCGAAUCACAAAACUCGGUCUCAGUUCAGAUUGCAGGCUGCAACUCGCCUGCAUGAAGUUGGAAUUGCUAGUAAUCGCGGAUCAGAAUGCCGCGGUGAAUACGAUCCCGGGCCUUGCACACACCGCCCGUCA